CACGUAGGGGGCGAGCGUUGUCCGGAUUUAUUGGGCGUAAAGAGCUCGUAGGCGGCUCGGUAAGUCGGGUGUGAAAGACCGGGGCUUAACUCCGGUUCUGCAUUCGAUACGGGCUAGCUAGAGUGUGGUAGGGGAGAUCGGAAUUCCUGGUGUAGCGGUGAAAUGCGCAGAUAUCAGGAGGAACACCGGUGGCGAAGGCGGAUCUCUGGGCCAUUACUGACGCUGAGGAGCGAAAGCGUGGGGAGCGAACAGG
Molecule: ribosomal RNA, 253 nt
Filed under: uncultured bacterium
Lineage: Bacteria
Description: partial 16S ribosomal RNA
Rfam family: Bacterial small subunit ribosomal RNA
Source: RNAcentral